This 217-nucleotide unclassified non-coding RNA is filed under the name uncultured fungus. Its description in RNAcentral is "sequence contains ITS1". Lineage: Eukaryota; Fungi. The record is from RNAcentral.
AGUUCCAGCGCGCCACGGCGCACGUCCUCAAGGUUUCGGCGAUCGGACCUCAGCGCCGCGCUCUCGUAAAAGAAAACCGGGAUUCCGAGUUCGCGUGUUAUGCGAUUGCCGGCGCUGUGCGCGAGUUCGACGCACUGCUCCAUCGUUACACCGCUCACCGGAACGAAAGGGAGAACGUCAGUGGCGCCGAGGCGAGGAUGUUGGCCCCGGUGGACUC